This 1137-nucleotide long non-coding RNA is filed under the name Junco hyemalis (dark-eyed junco). RNAcentral describes it as "lncRNA (ENSJHYG00000016871.1)". The record is from RNAcentral. Lineage: Eukaryota; Metazoa; Chordata; Aves; Passeriformes; Passerellidae.
CCCUGUCCCAUCCACCCGCCUCCAAGUCUAUCUCAGUCCCCCCCCCGAUACAUCCCCGUAUAUCCCAGUCUAUGCCUGUGCCCCCUGGUGGUUCCAGAGCCCUUCGAGUGCCCCUUUUGUUUCCAAAAGUGCUCUUCUUGUCCCUCCCAGUCUAUCCCAGUGCCUUAACAGUCCACUCCCAGUGCCCUUUUUGCCCCUAAAAGUGCCUCGCAGUCCUUCCUAGUCGUGUCCAAUCCCUCCCAAAUCCCAUUCAAUCCCCUCCAAAUCUAUUCCAGUCACUCAUGGUGUAUCCCAGUGCCUUCCAAAUCUAUUCCAGUCACUCCCAGUUCAUCCCAGUCGCCUCCCAGUCCUGUCCAAUCCCUCCCAAAUCCCAUUCAAUCCCCUCCAAAUCUAUCCCAGUCACUCCCAGUGUAUCCCAGUGCCUUCCAAAUCUAUUCCAGUCACUCCCAGUCCAUCCCAGUGCCCUGCAAAUCUAGCCCAGUCACUCCCGGUUCAUUCCAGUCUUAUCCCAGUGCCCUCCAAAUCUGUUCCUGUCACUCCCAGUCCAUCCCAGUCGAUCCCAUUACCCCCCAGUCGCUCCCAGUCGCCUCCCAGUGCCCAUUUUGUUCCUAAAAGUGUACUUUUUGUCCCUCCCAGUCCCUUCAAAGCCCAUCCCAGUCACCCGUGUAACCUCACAGCGUGUGUGCCCACACAUCCCCGGCUGUGCCCGGGGGCCGGUGGGCACCUCCCGGUGUGCUCCCAUCUCCCGGUGUGCUCCCACCUCCCGGUGUGCUCCCAUCUCCCGGUGUGCUCCCACAUCCCGCUGCUCCGGGACCGCUGCGCCGUUUUCCCUCUUUCCCCCUGGGGGAGAGAAAGGACGAACCCCGCUCCUGGAGCUGCUCCCGGCGUGUCCCGGAUCGCUCCGUCCUCCCGGAGGAAGAGGAGGAGGAGGAGGAGGAGGAGAUGCGUGUCCGCCCGCGGGGCCCCGGGAGCGUGAGGUUCCCCGGUUCUGUCCCGGUACCGGGUGGAGCGGGGCGAGCCGCGGGGCCUCGGGAGCAGGAGGUUACCCGCUAUCGGUACCGAGCGGAUCGGGGCUCAGGGGAGCAGGAGGAUCCCCGGUAUCGGUACCGAGCGGAUCGGGGCUCAGGGGAGCAGGAG